CUUCCAGGAAAAGCCUCUAAGCAUCAGGUAACAUCAAAUCGUACCCCAAACCGACACAGGUGGUCAGGUAGAGAAUACCAAGGCGCUUGAGAGAACUCGGGUGAAGGAACUAGGCAAAAUGGUGCCGUAACUUCGGGAGAAGGCACGCUGAUAUGUAGGUGAAGUCCCUCGCGGAUGGAGCUGAAAUCAGUCGAAGAUACCAGCUGGCUGCAACUGUUUAUUAAAAACACAGCACUGUGCAAACACGAAAGUGGACGUAUACGGUGUGACGCCUGCCCGGUGCCGGAAGGUUAAUUGAUGGGGUUAGCGCAAGCGAAGCUCUUGAUCGAAGCCCCGGUAAACGGCGGCCGUAACUAUAACGGUCCUAAGGUAGCGAAAUUCCUUGUCGGGUAAGUUCCGACCUGCACGAAUGGCGUAAUGAUGGCCAGGCUGUCUCCACCCGAGACUCAGUGAAAUUGAACUCGCUGUGAAGAUGCAGUGUACCCGCGGCAAGACGGAAAGACCCCGUGAACCUUUACUAUAGCUUGACACUGAACAUUGAGCCUUGAUGUGUAGGAUAGGUGGGAGGCUUUGAAGUGUGGACGCCAGUCUGCAUGGAGCCGACCUUGAAAUACCACCCUUUAAUGUUUGAUGUUCUAACGUUGACCCGUAAUCCGGGUUGCGGACAGUGUCUGGUGGGUAGUUUGACUGGGGCGGUCUCCUCCUAAAGAGUAACGGAGGAGCACGAAGGUUGGCUAAUCCUGGUCGGACAUCAGGAGGUUAGUGCAAUGGCAUAAGCCAGCUUGACUGCGAGCGUGACGGCGCGAGCAGGUGCGAAAGCAGGUCAUAGUGAUCCGGUGGUUCUGAAUGGAAGGGCCAUCGCUCAACGGAUAAAAGGUACUCCGGGGAUAACAGGCUGAUACCGCCCAAGAGUUCAUAUCGACGGCGGUGUUUGGCACCUCGAUGUCGGCUCAUCACAUCCUGGGGCUGAAGUAGGUCCCAAGGGUAUGGCUGUUCGCCAUUUAAAGUGGUACGCGAGCUGGGUUUAGAACGUCGUGAGACAGUUCGGUCCCUAUCUGCCGUGGGCGCUGGAGAACUGAGGGGGGCUGCUCCUAGUACGAGAGGACCGGAGUGGACGCAUCACUGGUGUUCGGGUUGUCAUGCCAAUGGCACUGCCCGGUAGCUAAAUGCGGAAGAGAUAAGUGCUGAAAGCAUCUAAGCACGAAACUUGCCCCGAGAUGAGUUCUCCCUGACUCCUUGAGAGUCCUGAAGGAACGUUGAAGACGACGACGUUGAUAGGCCGGAUGUGUAAGCGCAGCGAUGCGUUGAGCUAACCGGUACUAAUGAACCGUGAGGCUUAACCUU
RNAcentral lists this ribosomal RNA (1344 nucleotides) under Escherichia coli. RNAcentral's name for it is "partial 23S ribosomal RNA". It matches the Rfam family "Bacterial large subunit ribosomal RNA", at positions 1605 to 2925 of the family's 2925-position model. The record is from RNAcentral. Lineage: Bacteria; Pseudomonadati; Pseudomonadota; Gammaproteobacteria; Enterobacterales; Enterobacteriaceae.